GACGAACGCUGGCGGCGUGCUUAACACAUGCAAGUCGAACGGAAAGGCCCUGCUUUUGUGGGGUGCUCGAGUGGCGAACGGGUGAGUAACACGUGAGUAACCUGCCCUUGACUUUGGGAUAACUUCAGGAAACUGGGGCUAAUACCGGAUAGGAGCUCCUGCUGCAUGGAGGGGGUGGGAAAGUUUCGGCGGUUGGGGAUGGACUGGCGGCUUAUCAGCUUGUUGGUGGGGUAGUGGCUUACCCAGGCUUUGGCGGGUAGCCGGCCUGAGAGGGUGAACGGCCACCUUGGGACUGAGAUACGGCCCAGACUCCUACGGGAGGCAGCAGUGGGGAAUAUUGCCCAAUGGGCGGAAGCCUGAUGCAGCAACGCCGCGGGCGGGAUGACGGCCUUCGGGUUGUAAACCGCUUUCGCCUGUGACGAAGCGUGAGUGACGGUAAUGGGUAAAGAAGCACCGGCUAACUACGUG
This 468-nucleotide ribosomal RNA is filed under the name uncultured bacterium. RNAcentral describes it as "partial 16S ribosomal RNA". It matches the Rfam family "Bacterial small subunit ribosomal RNA", at positions 28 to 507 of the family's 1533-position model. The record is from RNAcentral.